Molecule: long non-coding RNA, 542 nt
Filed under: Parus major (Great Tit)
Lineage: Eukaryota; Metazoa; Chordata; Aves; Passeriformes; Paridae
Description: lncRNA (ENSPMJG00000006125.1)
Source: RNAcentral
UUAUUUUUAUUUUAGGGUUUUGUUGGCUAGAAUUUGGCACAGAAGCACAGGAAUCCAUGGGCAGCUUUGGGGAUUUUGACCAUUGAGCCUCCUCCUUCCAACUAGACAUCAGCAAGUGGCCAUCUGAGCAUUUACCUCUGAAAAUCUUCUUUUCUGGGUGUGGAAGUGACCUUAUUUUUCACAAGUGCUGCCCAUGUUAAAGAGAGCAAAAUACAGCACCUGGUGGAAAAUCUGUUUAGAUAUCCAGGACUAGUAAGUUACUUCUGAUAAUUCAGGAAAUAAAACAAGAGGUGAAAAAUGAUUGGAAUUAAUAUCUCUAUGCAAGGAAUGAAUCUUGCUUUUCAACAAAUUGAGGACCUGUCUGGUGAUUGUUCUCUCCUGAGCGCAGCAGGCUCAAUUAAAGGGAAUGGCAGCCAGUAUUCCUUCAACAGAUCACAGCAAGACGGACAGGGAACUUCUUUUGAUUGAUUUGUGCAAGAAAGUACUAACAGAUUUAUAAAGCAAAAAAUAAAAAAGAGGAUUGAAGUUAUACCUGCUGUCCU